This 540-nucleotide long non-coding RNA is filed under the name Salmo salar (Atlantic salmon). RNAcentral describes it as "lncRNA (ENSSSAG00000113137.1)". Lineage: Eukaryota; Metazoa; Chordata; Actinopteri; Salmoniformes; Salmonidae. The record is from RNAcentral.
GUGACGCACCACCUGGACUCGGUCUUAUGUAGCAACAUUUGAAUAGCUGUGUUUUACAUUAGAUACAAGUAGAGACUCAGAGCUACAAAAUGGUAUAUCAUACACCGCAUUUGAGGAAACAAUGGGAAAUCCACUUCUAGUGUGUGCAGCUGGCUUCCGUUGAGUGAUGUUAGCUGUUUCUGGACUUCCCAGAUGAUCUUGCGACACGUCGCCAUCUUCAUUGGAUACCUGAUGUCUCACUCUGCUUUCUGAUGACUUUCAAAGUCCUGCCUGUAGCCUUAGCUCACUGGAUGGCCCUCGCAGCCCUCUCUGCAGUUCUAACUCCAACUGCAGCGUGUUCAUCGCCAGACAAUCCACAUCUGACUCCACGUCGAAAAACUUAUGCUCACCAUUUAAACGUGCUGUUACAUACCUGUAGUGUUAAAGAGAAACGAACACAAAAGUUAUCGUCUUGACAGUUCUGGCAUUUCUUUAUUCUGAUGAAUAGUGGGCGCAUUUGGCCAGAAUUUGUUGCUUCCCCACUGCCAGAGUGGAACAGUG